Molecule: ribosomal RNA, 300 nt
Filed under: Triticum aestivum (bread wheat)
Lineage: Eukaryota; Viridiplantae; Streptophyta; Magnoliopsida; Poales; Poaceae
Description: partial small subunit ribosomal RNA
Source: RNAcentral
AUGGGGUCGAGGCCGCCGGAGGCCGGUGGGGGCGACGGGGCAUGGAGGCUGCCGGGGGCAACGAGAGACGGGUCGUGGAGCCUGCCGGGCGAGAUGAUGGCCAGCGUGGCCGGGGCCGGCCGGCGAGAUGGCGGCGAGCAAUGUGGUAGCGGGCGCCGGCGGGCCUACGGUGGCGACAGGGAAGUGGCCGCGGCGCCAAGCGAAGUGGUUGCCGACGAGGCCAUGACCGGCCGCGGGGGCCAAGGUGUUGACCAGUCAGCGUGCUUGAUUUGGAUCGAGUGGGAGAGAAACGAGAGCUGA